Molecule: ribosomal RNA, 253 nt
Filed under: uncultured bacterium
Lineage: Bacteria
Description: partial 16S ribosomal RNA
Rfam family: Bacterial small subunit ribosomal RNA
Source: RNAcentral
UACGUAGGGCGCAAGCGUUGUCCGGAAUUAUUGGGCGUAAAGAGCUCGUAGGCGGCCAGUUGCGUCUGCUGUGAAAUCCCGGGGCUCAACCCCGGGCGUGCAGUGGAUACGGGCCGGCUAGAGGCAGGCAGGGGAGAACGGAAUUCCCGGUGUAGCGGUGAAAUGCGCAGAUAUCGGGAGGAACACCGGUGGCGAAGGCGGUUCUCUGGGCCUGUACUGACGCUGAGGAGCGAAAGCGUGGGGAGCGAACAGG